GUCUCUGUGGCGCAAUCGGUUAGCGCGGUCGGCUGUUAACCGAAAGGUUUGUUGUUCAAGCCUACCCAGGGACG
This 74-nucleotide transfer RNA is filed under the name Saccoglossus kowalevskii. Its description in RNAcentral is "tRNA-Asn". It matches the Rfam family "tRNA". From Rfam's summary of the family: Transfer RNA (tRNA) molecules are approximately 80 nucleotides in length. Their secondary structure includes four short double-helical elements and three loops (D, anti-codon, and T loops). The record is from RNAcentral. Lineage: Eukaryota; Metazoa; Hemichordata; Enteropneusta; Harrimaniidae.